RNAcentral lists this transfer RNA (72 nucleotides) under Isosphaeraceae bacterium. Its description in RNAcentral is "tRNA-Glu". It matches the Rfam family "tRNA". From Rfam's summary of the family: Transfer RNA (tRNA) molecules are approximately 80 nucleotides in length. Their secondary structure includes four short double-helical elements and three loops (D, anti-codon, and T loops). Lineage: Bacteria; Pseudomonadati; Planctomycetota; Planctomycetia; Isosphaerales; Isosphaeraceae. The record is from RNAcentral.
GGCUCUGUCGUCUACCGGCUAGGACACCACCCUCUCAAGGUGGAGAAGCGGGUUCGACUCCCGUCAGGGCUA